This is a long non-coding RNA of Daphnia pulex (common water flea), 532 nucleotides long. RefSeq lists it as uncharacterized. The record is from RefSeq and is a predicted model, not a curated record. The transcript is spliced from 3 exons. Lineage: Eukaryota; Metazoa; Arthropoda; Branchiopoda; Diplostraca; Daphniidae.
UAGAAGAAGAGUCAAAAGUGUCGUCUGCUUUACAAGUUUCGAAAAACUGGAGAACAAACUUGUUUUAAAUAAGAUUACAAAUAAAACGAAACGAUCACUUUUUUGGAAACGUACACGUAGAUGCACGAAAAAUAGCAGAACAAAUUAAAUCACAAAAAUGUGGUCGUCGUGUGAACUCUGUCGCAGUUGUCUCGGUGUGAACUCGUGUGAAUUUGUCACGCUCUCCAUUCCAUGCUGUUUUUGGCGGAUUUCAGGCCUGAGCCAGCCAUCCGAACAAAAAAGUUAUGUAAGUUUUGCUUGGGCUGGUCCACCAGCAACAAUUUCAGCAACAUCACUGUGAUAAACAUCCCAUUUGAUUGGAGAAAUUUCUUUUUCUUUAAAUCCCUUCUACCCUUGUGUACACCCUAGUGUGUAUGGGUAUUAUUCACGAGGAGGUCCUUUUUUCUAUCCCACCUGGCCUGAUGUCUUCAACUUUUACUGCGGAUGGAGCACUUGGUGAUGCCUGGCCGAAUUUCCUAGGCUUAAAGGUAGG